Molecule: ribosomal RNA, 506 nt
Filed under: uncultured bacterium
Lineage: Bacteria
Description: partial 16S ribosomal RNA
Rfam family: Bacterial small subunit ribosomal RNA
Source: RNAcentral
GAUGAACGCUAGCUACAGGCUUAACACAUGCAAGUCGAGGGGUAACGAGAGGAAAGCUUGCUUUCCUUGUCGACGACCGGCGCACGGGUGAGUAACGCGUAUCCAACCUGCCCCCAACUAAGGAAUAACCUUGCGAAAGUAAGACUAAUACCUUAUAAUUUCCUCAGAUGUCAUCUGACGAGGAAUAAAGAUUUAUCGGUUGUGGAUGGGGAUGCGUCUGAUUAGCUUGUUGGCGGGGUAACGGCCCACCAAGGCAACGAUCAGUAGGGGUUCUGAGAGGAAGGUCCCCCACAUUGGAACUGAGACACGGUCCAAACUCCUACGGGAGGCAGCAGUGAGGAAUAUUGGUCAAUGGGCGGAAGCCUGAACCAGCCAAGUAGCGUGCAGGAUGACGGCCCUAUGGGUUGUAAACUGCUUUUAUACAGGAAUAAAGUUAGCCACGUGUGGUUAUUUGUAGGUACUGUAUGAAUAAGGACCGGCUAAUUCCGUGCCAGCAGCCGCGGUAA